RNAcentral lists this ribosomal RNA (450 nucleotides) under uncultured bacterium. Its description in RNAcentral is "partial 16S ribosomal RNA". It matches the Rfam family "Bacterial small subunit ribosomal RNA", at positions 354 to 796 of the family's 1533-position model. The record is from RNAcentral.
GUGGGGAAUCUUCCGCAAUGGACGAAAGUCUGACGGAGCAACGCCGCGUGAGUGAUGAAGGUCUUCGGAUUGUAAAGCUCUGUUAAUCGGGACGAAAGAGCCUAGUGUGAAUAAUGCUAGGAAGUGACGGUACCGGAAUAGAAAGCCACGGCUAACUACGUGCCAGCAGCCGCGGUAAUACGUAGGUGGCAAGCGUUGUCCGGAAUUAUUGGGCGUAAAGCGCGCGCAGGCGGAUCUGCCAGUCUGUCUUAAAAGUUCGGGGCUUAACCCCGUGAUGUGAUGGAAACUACAGAUCUAGAGUAUCGGAGAGGAAAGUGGAAUUCCUAGUGUAGCGGUGAAAUGCGUAGAUAUUAGGAAGAACACCAGUGGCGAAGGCGACUUUCUGGACGAAAACUGACGCUGAGGCGCGAAAGCCAGGGGAGCGAACGGGAUUAGAUACCCUUGUAGUCC